Molecule: small RNA, 573 nt
Filed under: Caenorhabditis elegans
Lineage: Eukaryota; Metazoa; Nematoda; Chromadorea; Rhabditida; Rhabditidae
Description: Unclassified non-coding RNA Y38F2AR.27
Source: RNAcentral
AAAACUUCCCAAAACUCUACUCCCAAUUCAUGGAUCUCCGCUCAAAAUCCCUGGCCGGACUUAAAACCCAAGGUUUCACAGAAUCGCAAAUCGAAACCAAAUACUUUAUGCACAUGAGAUACGAGAAAACCGACACGGCUAUCAUGAUUAGCUGUGAUAUCGGAAAAUCCGAAGAUCUUGCGAGUUUUAGAGACGAAUUCCGAACGACUUACCGCAGGGAGUUCGGAUUUGUGCUCGAGGACCGUAAUAUUAUCAUCGAUGACGUCAGAAUUCGCACACGUGGAAAAUCGGGGUGCCACGUGGAGAAGACCAUCAAGCAGGCGGCUGAAGAUCAGAGACAAGCGGUUCUGAAGUCUGUGUCAUCGGUUUACUUUGAAAAUUUGAAGUUUGUGGAGACGGGGGUCUACUUGCUGGAGGAAAUGCUUGCCGGGCAGAUUAUCAAUGGUCCAGCUUUGCUUAUCGAUAAGAAUAGUACUAUAGUGAUAGAGCCGUCAAGUACGGUAACGAUUACCGAGCACGGAAAUGUAGAACUUCAGAUUGGAAAUGAUGUGGAGAAGGAUUUGACAACGGAGG